UAGCUCAGGGGUAGAGCAGAGGACUCAUAAGCCUUUGGUCGGGGGUUCAAUUCCCUC
Molecule: transfer RNA, 57 nt
Filed under: Verrucomicrobiales bacterium
Lineage: Bacteria; Pseudomonadati; Verrucomicrobiota; Verrucomicrobiia; Verrucomicrobiales
Description: tRNA-Met
Rfam family: tRNA
About the family: Transfer RNA (tRNA) molecules are approximately 80 nucleotides in length. Their secondary structure includes four short double-helical elements and three loops (D, anti-codon, and T loops). Further hydrogen bonds mediate the characteristic L-shaped molecular structure. tRNAs have two regions of fundamental functional importance: the anti-codon, which is responsible for specific mRNA codon recognition, and the 3' end, to which the tRNAs corresponding amino acid is attached (by aminoacyl-tRNA synthetases). tRNAs cope with the degeneracy of the genetic code in two manners: having more than one tRNA (with a specific anti-codon) for a particular amino acid; and 'wobble' base-pairing, i.e. permitting non-standard base-pairing at the 3rd anti-codon position.
Source: RNAcentral